AGUGAACGCUGGCGGUAGGCCUAACACAUGCAAGUCGAACGGCAGCACAGUAAGAGCUUGCUCUUACGGGUGGCGAGUGGCGGACGGGUGAGGAAUACAUCGGAAUCUACUUUUUCGUGGGGGAUAACGUAGGGAAACUUACGCUAAUACCGCAUACGACCUACGGGUGAAAGCAGGGGAUCUUCGGACCUUGCGCGAUUGAAUGAGCCGAUGUCGGAUUAGCUAGUUGGCGGGGUAAAGGCCCACCAAGGCGACGAUCCGUAGCUGGUCUGAGAGGAUGAUCAGCCACACUGGAACUGAGACACGGUCCAGACUCCUACAGGAGGCAGCAGUGGGGAAUAUUGGACAAUGGGCGCAAGCCUGAUCCAGCCAUACCGCGUGGGUGAAGAGGGCCUUCGGGUUGUAAAGCCCUUUUGUUGGGAAAGAAAAGCAGCAGGUUAAUACCCCGCUGUUCUGACGGUACCCAAAGAAUAAGCACCGGCUAACUUCGUG
This 492-nucleotide ribosomal RNA is filed under the name uncultured bacterium. RNAcentral's name for it is "partial 16S ribosomal RNA". It matches the Rfam family "Bacterial small subunit ribosomal RNA", at positions 29 to 507 of the family's 1533-position model. The record is from RNAcentral.